GCCGGAAUAGCUUCGAAAUC
This 20-nucleotide transfer RNA is filed under the name Grimmia pulvinata. RNAcentral describes it as "partial transfer RNA-Phe". Lineage: Eukaryota; Viridiplantae; Streptophyta; Bryopsida; Grimmiales; Grimmiaceae. The record is from RNAcentral.